UACGAAGGGGGCUAGCGUUGUUCGGAAUUACUGGGCGUAAAGCGCGUGUAGGCGGCUUCUUAAGUCUGGUGUGAAAGCCCGGGGCUCACCCCCGGAAGUGCAUUGGAUACUGGGAAGCUAGAGUACCGGAGAGGAAGGUGGAAUACUUGGUGUAGCAGUGAAAUGCGUAGAUAUCAAGUGGAACACCAGUGGCGAAGGCAGGUCUCUGGGCCACUACUGACGCUGAGAAGCGAAAGCAUGGGGAGCGAACAGG
This 253-nucleotide ribosomal RNA is filed under the name uncultured bacterium. Its description in RNAcentral is "partial 16S ribosomal RNA". It matches the Rfam family "Bacterial small subunit ribosomal RNA", at positions 524 to 776 of the family's 1533-position model. The record is from RNAcentral.